Molecule: non-coding RNA, 127 nt
Organism: Dactylonectria macrodidyma
Lineage: Eukaryota; Fungi; Ascomycota; Sordariomycetes; Hypocreales; Nectriaceae
Source: the annotation of a GenBank genome assembly
AGCAAUUUGGCGCAGUGGAAGCGCGGUAUGUCUACAUCUCUAAUUAUUGGAUCAUCGGUUCGAAAUCUAACUCGUCCCAGCCGGGCUCAUAACCCGGAGGUCGCACGAUCGAAACGUGCAAUUGCUA